Molecule: ribosomal RNA, 442 nt
Filed under: uncultured bacterium
Lineage: Bacteria
Description: partial 16S ribosomal RNA
Rfam family: Bacterial small subunit ribosomal RNA
Source: RNAcentral
AUGAACGCUGGCGGCAUGCCUAACCCAUGCAAGUCGAUCGGUAAGGCUCUUCGGAGUACACGAGAGGCGGACGGCUGAGUAACGCGUAGGAACACACCCUGCAGUGAGGGAUAAGACACCGAAAGGUGUUCUAAUACCGCAUACGGUCUUCGGAUUAAAGCAUUUAUGCGCUGAAGGAGUGGCCUGCGUCAUAUUAGAUAGUUGGUGAGGUAAUGGCUCACCAAGUCGAUGAUGUGUAGCUGGUCUGAGAGGAUGAUCAGCCAGACUGGAACUGAGACACGGUCCAGACUCCUACGGGAGGCAGCAGUGAGGAAUAUUUCACAAUGAGCGAAAGCUUGAUGGAGCAAUGCCGCGUGCAGGAUGAAGGCUCUCGGGUUGUAAACUGCUUUUAUAAGAGAAGAUUAUGACGGUAACUUAUGAAUAAGGGACGGCUAACUACGUG